This 970-nucleotide long non-coding RNA is filed under the name Homo sapiens (human). RNAcentral describes it as "HSALNT0043957". The record is from RNAcentral. Lineage: Eukaryota; Metazoa; Chordata; Mammalia; Primates; Hominidae.
UUUGAGGUGCAGAUAGCUUGCUUUAUUUUGUUGUUACUAUCUCAAGGAGGUCCAACAAUUAUAACUAACAAUUGAAUUUAUACUUGCAUGAAAAGAACUACAUCAAAUUGACAUUUUGGGCAAUUAGUAAUAUUGUUUAAAAUUUAACAACAGCUUUAUUUUGUUGUUGUUCUUUACUUUUUGCUGUGGCUCAUUGCUUAGGUGCCCAGGUUUUUCAGGUGCAAUUAAAAUUUAGAACUACCACACAAAGGCAUUGGCUGCACUCUGGGACCUCCAAGAGUUGGCACUGCUCUGGCAUAGGAAUACUUGAAUAGCUUGGUUAAAUGAAGGGAUGGCCAGGAGAUGUUACUUUUCCAAGCUAUUCAGGCACUCCUUAUGUCAGAGACAGCGUAAAAUGAGCGAACAAAGUGUUGGCCGUUACACUUUGCUCUGGUAAUAUUUGUCAUGAUAAUUUUGUGUGACAUCAUCAGAGAAAAUGUAAGACGUAUUGGUGCACAUAUCAAGUGAUAUGCACAGCAUCAUUCUCUUUUAGGUGGACAGGACAUCUUCAAUGGGGAUUUUCUCAACCCACUGAGGCAUACUUAGACAUCAACAGUAUGUUGAGGCACAAAGAUUGAUUAAAUGUUGAGCAGGGUAUUCGUUCCAUAAGAAACUUUCUCCUACCAACAGUUAGUUUCAAAACUUACAUUGUAAAAUGUCAUAAAAUAAAUGGUACAAAACUUUAUAACCGUUAAUCCGGCUAUAUACAGUAUGUACAUGUCACUAGCAAAUGUAUUAUAUUCUUAGGUCAACAAUUAUGAAAAGAUUGAAAUGAAUAUUUUUGAACUUUGACUCAUUUAGGUUGAUACAAAACUACUUUUUUUUCUUUAAAUAUUUACAGUUCAGAAAGAUUAGUCCGUGUGAAACGUUUGCGAAAAGUUAAGAAUGAGUGUAGAGUAUAAGGGCACAGGCCCUCUUAAAUGGAUCGAAU